UGGGGAAUAUUGCACAAUGGGCGCAAGCCUGAUGCAGCCAUGCCGCGUGUAUGAAGAAGGCCUUCGGGUUGUAAAGUACUUUCAGCGGGGAGGAAGGGAGUAAAGUUAAUACCUUUGCUCAUUGACGUUACCCGCAGAAGAAGCACCGGCUAACUCCGUGCCAGCAGCCGCGGUAAUACGGAGGGUGCAAGCGUUAAUCGGAAUUACUGGGCGUAAAGCGCACGCAGGCGGUCUGUCAAGUCGGAUGUGAAAUCCCCGGGCUCAACCUGGGAAAUGCAUUCGAAACUGGCAGGCUAGAGUCUUGUAGAGGGGGGUAGAAUUCCAGGUGUAGCGGUGAAAUGCGUAGAGAUCUGGAGGAAUACCGGUGGCGAAGGCGGCCCCCUGGACAAAGACUGACGCUCAGGUGCGAAAGCGUGGGGAGCAAACAGG
RNAcentral lists this ribosomal RNA (429 nucleotides) under Chloroflexota bacterium. RNAcentral describes it as "Chloroflexi bacterium partial 16S ribosomal RNA". It matches the Rfam family "Bacterial small subunit ribosomal RNA", at positions 355 to 776 of the family's 1533-position model. Lineage: Bacteria; Bacillati; Chloroflexota. The record is from RNAcentral.